Molecule: ribosomal RNA, 252 nt
Filed under: uncultured bacterium
Lineage: Bacteria
Description: partial 16S ribosomal RNA
Rfam family: Bacterial small subunit ribosomal RNA
Source: RNAcentral
UACGUAGGGGGCAAGCGUUAUCCGGAUUUACUGGGUGUAAAGGGAGCGUAGACGGCAGAGCAAGUCUGAAGUGAAAGCCCGCGGCCCAACUGCGGGACUGCUUUGGAACUGUAUAGCUAGAGUGUCGGAGAGGCAGGCGGAAUUCCUAGUGUAGCGGUGAAAUGCGUAGAUAUUAGGAGGAACACCAGUGGCGAAGACGGCCUGCUGGACGAUGACUGACGUUGAGGCUCGAAAGCGUGGGGAGCAAACAGG